AAUCAGCAUGUCGCGGUGAAUACGUUCCCGGGCCUUGUACACACCGCCCGUCACACCAUGAGAGUUGGCAAUACCCAAAGUUCGUGAGCUAACCGCAAGGAGGCAGCGACCUAAGGUAGGGUCAGCGAUUGGGGUGAAGUCGUAACAAGGUAGCCGUAGGGGAACCUGCGGCUGGAUCACCUCCUUU
This 187-nucleotide ribosomal RNA is filed under the name Acinetobacter baumannii. RNAcentral describes it as "partial 16S ribosomal RNA". It matches the Rfam family "Bacterial small subunit ribosomal RNA", at positions 1347 to 1533 of the family's 1533-position model. Lineage: Bacteria; Pseudomonadati; Pseudomonadota; Gammaproteobacteria; Moraxellales; Moraxellaceae. The record is from RNAcentral.